Molecule: small RNA, 7950 nt
Filed under: Pan troglodytes (chimpanzee)
Lineage: Eukaryota; Metazoa; Chordata; Mammalia; Primates; Hominidae
Description: processed transcript
Source: RNAcentral
AUGCCUAUUGGAUCCAAAGAGAGGCCAACAUUUUUUGAAAUUUUUAAGACACGCUGCAACAAAGCAGAUUUAGGACCAAUAAGUCUUAAUUGGUUUGAAGAACUUUCUUCAGAAGCUCCACCCUAUAAUUCUGAACCUGCAGAAGAAUCUGAACAUAAAAACAACAAUUAUGAACCAAACCUAUUUAAAACUCCACAAAGGAAACCAUCUUAUAAUCAGCUGGCUUCAACUCCAAUAAUAUUCAAAGAGCAAGGGCUGACUCUGCCACUGUACCAAUCUCCUGUAAAAGAAUUAGAUAAAUUCAAAUUAGACUUAGGAAGGAAUGUUCCCAAUAGUAGACAUAAAAGUCUUUGCACAGUGAAAACUAAAAUGGAUCAAGCAGAUGAUGUUUCCUGUCCACUUCUAAAUUCUUGUCUUAGUGAAAGUCCUGUUGUUCUACAAUGCACACAUGUAACACCACAAAGAGAUAAGUCAGUGGUAUGUGGGAGUUUGUUUCAUACACCAAAGUUUGUGAAGGGUCGUCAGACACCAAAACAUAUUUCUGAAAGUCUAGGAGCUGAGGUGGAUCCUGAUAUGUCUUGGUCAAGUUCUUUAGCUACACCACCCACCCUUAGUUCUACUGUGCUCAUAGUCAGAAAUGAAGAAGCAUCUGAAACUGUAUUUCCUCAUGAUACUACUGCUAAUGUGAAAAGCUAUUUUUCUAAUCAUGAUGAAAGUCUGAAGAAAAAUGAUAGAUUUAUAGCUUCUGUGACAGACAGUGAAAACACAAAUCAAAGAGAAGCUACAAGUCAUGGAUUUGGAAAAACAUCAGGGAAUUCAUUUAAAGUAAAUAGCUGCAAAGACCACACUGGAAAGUCAAUGCCAAAUGUCCUAGAGGAUGAAGUAUAUGAAACAGUUGUAGAUACCUCUGAAGAAGAUAGUUUUUCAUUAUGUUUUUCUAAAUGUAGAACAAAAAAUCUACAAAAAGUAAGAACUAGCAAGACUAGGAAAAAAAUUUUCCAUGAAGCAAACGCUGAUGAAUGUGAAAAAUCUAAAAACCAAGUGAAAGAAAAAUACUCAUUUGUAUCUGAAGUGGAACCAAAUGAUACUGAUCCAUUAGAUUCAAAUGUAGCAAAUCAGAAGCCCUUUGAGAGUGGAAGUGACAAAAUCUCCAAGGAAGUUGUACCGUCUUUGGCCUGUGAAUGGUCUCAACUAACCCUUUCAGGUCUAAAUGGAGCCCAGAUGGAGAAAAUACCCCUAUUGCAUAUUUCUUCAUGUGACCAAAAUAUUUCAGAAAAAGACCUAUUAGACACAGAGAACAAAAGAAAGAAAGAUUUUCUUACUUCAGAGAAUUCUUUGCCACGUAUUUCUAGCCUACCAAAAUCAGAGAAGCCAUUAAAUGAGGAAACAGUGGUAAAUAAGAGAGAUGAAGAGCAGCAUCUUGAAUCUCAUACAGACUGCAUUCUUGCAGUAAAGCAGGCAAUAUCUGGAACUUCUCCAGUGGCUUCUUCAUUUCAGGGUAUCAAAAAGUCUAUAUUCAGAAUAAGAGAAUCACCUAAAGAGACUUUCAAUGCAAGUUUUUCAGGUCAUAUGACUGAUCCAAACUUUAAAAAAGAAACUGAAGCCUCUGAAAGUGGACUGGAAAUACAUACUGUUUGCUCACAGAAGGAGGACUCCUUAUGUCCAAAUUUAAUUGAUAAUGGAAGCUGGCCAGCCACCACCACACAGACUUCUGUAGCUUUGAAGAAUGCAGGUUUAAUAUCCACUUUGAAAAAGAAAACAAAUAAGUUUAUUUAUGCUAUACAUGAUGAAACAUCUUAUAAAGGAAAAAAAAUACCAAAAGACCAAAAAUCAGAACUAAUUAACUGUUCAGCCCAAUUUGAAGCAAAUGCUUUUGAAGCACCACUUACAUUUGCAAAUGCUGAUUCAGGUUUAUUGCAUUCUUCUGUCAAAAGAAGCUGUUCACAGAAUGAUUCUGAAGAACCAACUUUGUCCUUAACUAGCUCUUUUGGGACAAUUCUGAGGAAAUGUUCUAGAAAUGAAACAUGUUCUAAUAAUACAGUAAUCUCUCAGGAUCUUGAUUAUAAAGAAGCAAAAUGUAAUAAGGAAAAACUGCAGUUAUUUAUUACCCCAGAAGCUGAUUCUCUGUCAUGCCUGCAGGAAGGACAGUGUGAAAAUGAUCCAAAAAGCAAAAAAGUUUCAGAUAUAAAAGAAGAGGUCUUGGCUGCAGCAUGUCACCCAGUACAACAUUCAAAAGUGGAAUACAGUGAUACUGACUUUCAAUCCCAGAAAAGUCUUUUAUAUGACCAUGAAAAUGCCAGCACUCUUAUUUUAACUCCUACUUCCAAGGAUGUUCUGUCAAACCUAGUCAUGAUUUCUAGAGGCAAAGAAUCAUACAAAAUGUCAGACAAGCUCAAAGGUAACAAUUAUGAAUCUGAUGUUGAAUUAACCAAAAAUAUUCCCAUGGAAAAGAAUCAAGAUGUAUGUGCUUUAAAUGAAAAUUAUAAAAACGUUGAGCUGUUGCCACCUGAAAAAUACAUGAGAGUAGCAUCACCUUCAAGAAAGGUACAAUUCAACCAAAACACAAAUCUAAGAGUAAUCCAAAACAAUCAAGAAGAAACUACUUCAAUUUCAAAAAUAACUGUCAAUCCAGACUCUGAAGAACUUUUCUCAGACAAUGAGAAUAAUUUUGUCUUCCAAGUAGCUAAUGAAAGAAAUAAUCUUGCUUUAGGAAAUACUAAGGAACUUCAUGAAACAGACUUGACUUGUGUAAACGAACCCAUUUUCAAGAACUCUACCAUGGUUUUAUAUGGAGACACAGGUGAUAAACAAGCAACCCAAGUGUCAAUUAAAAAAGAUUUGGUUUAUGUUCUUGCAGAGGAGAACAAAAAUAGUGUAAAGCAGCAUAUAAAAAUGACUCUAGGUCAAGAUUUAAAAUCGGACAUCUCCUUGAAUAUAGAUAAAAUACCAGACAAAAAUAAUGAUUACAUGGACAAAUGGGCAGGACUCUUAGGUCCAAUUUCAAAUCACAGCUUUGGAGGUAGCUUCAGAACAGCUUCAAAUAAGGAAAUCAAGCUCUCUGAACAUAACAUUAAGAAGAGCAAAAUGUUCUUCAAAGAUAUUGAAGAACAAUAUCCUACUAGUUUAGCUUGUGUUGAAAUUGUAAAUACCUUGGCAUUAGAUAAUCAAAAGAAACUGAGCAAGCCUCAGUCAAUUAAUACUGUAUCUGCACAUUUACAGAGUAGUGUAGUUGUUUCUGAUUGUAAAAAUAGUCAUAUAACCCCUCAGAUGUUAUUUUCAAAGCAGGAUUUUAAUUCAAACCAUAAUUUAACACCUAGCCAAAAGGCAGAAAUUACAGAACUUUCUACCAUAUUAGAAGAAUCAGGAAGUCAGUUUGAAUUUACUCAGUUUAGAAAACCAAGCUACAUAUUGCAGAAGAGUACAUUUGAAGUGCCUGAAAACCAGAUGACUAUCUUAAAGACCAUUUCUGAGGAAUGCAGAGAUGCUGAUCUUCAUGUCAUAAUGAAUGCCCCAUCGAUUGGUCAGGUAGACAGCAGCAAGCAAUUUGAAGGUACAGUUGAAAUUAAACGGAAGUUUGCUGGCCUGUUGAAAAAUGACUGUAACAAAAGUGCUUCUGGUUAUUUAACAGAUGAAAAUGAAGUGGGGUUUAGGGGCUUUUAUUCUGCUCAUGGCACAAAACUGAAUGUUUCUACUGAAGCUCUGCAAAAAGCUGUGAAACUGUUUAGUGAUAUUGAGAAUAUUAGUGAGGAAACUUCUGCAGAGGUACAUCCAAUAAGUUUAUCUUCAAGUAAAUGUCAUGAUUCUGUUGUUUCAAUGUUUAAGAUAGAAAAUCAUAAUGAUAAAACUGUAAGUGAAAAAAAUAAUAAAUGCCAACUGAUAUUACAAAAUAAUAUUGAAAUGACUACUGGCACUUCUGUUGAAGAAAUUACUGAAAAUUACAAGAGAAAUACUGAAAAUGAAGAUAACAAAUAUACUGCUUCCAGUAGAAAUUCUCAUAACUUAGAAUUUGAUGGCAGUGAUUCAAGUAAAAAUGAUACUGUUUGUAUUCAUAAAGAUGAAACGGACUUGCUAUUUACUGAUCAGCACAACAUAUGUCUUAAAUUAUCUGGCCAGUUUAUGAAGGAGGGAAACACUCAGAUUAAAGAAGAUUUGUCAGAUUUAACUUUUUUGGAAGUUGUGAAAGCUCAAGAAGCAUGUCAUGGUAAUACUUCAAAUAAAGAACAGUUAACUGCUACUAAAACGGAGCAAAAUAUAAAAGAUUUUGAGACUUCUGAUACAUUUUUUCAGACUGCAAGUGGGAAAAAUAUUAGUGUCGCCAAAGAGUCAUUUAAUAAAAUUGUAAAUUUCUUUGAUCAGAAACCAGAAGAAUUGCAUAACUUUUCCUUAAAUUCUGAAUUACAUUCUGACAUAAGAAAGAACAAAAUGGACAUUCUAAGUUAUGAGGAAACAGACAUAGUUAAACACAAAAUACUGAAAGAAAGCGUCCCAGUUGGUACUGGAAAUCAACUAGUGACCUUCCAGGGACAACCCGAACGUGAUGAAAAGAUCAAAGAACCUACUCUGUUGGGUUUUCAUACAGCUAGUGGGAAAAAAGUUAAAAUUGCAAAGGAAUCUUUGGACAAAGUGAAAAAUCUUUUUGAUGAAAAAGAGCAAGGUACUAGUGAAAUCACCAGUUUUAGCCAUCAAUGGGCAAAGACCCUAAAGUACAGAGAGGCCUGUAAAGACCUUGAAUUAGCAUGUGAGACCAUUGAGAUCACAACUGCCCCAAAGUGUAAAGAAAUGCAGAAUUCUCUCAAUAAUGAUAAAAACCUUGUUUCUAUUGAGACUGUGGUGCCACCUAAGCUCUUAAGUGAUAAUUUAUGUAGACAAACUGAAAAUCUCAAAACAUCAAAAAGUAUCUUUUUGAAAGUUAAAGUACAUGAAAAUGUAGAAAAAGAAACAGCAAAAAGUCCUGCAACUUGUUACACAAAUCAGUCCCCUUAUUCAGUCAUUGAAAAUUCAGCCUUAGCUUUUUAUACAAGUUGUAGUAGAAAAACUUCUGUGAGUCAGACUUCAUUACUUGAAGCAAAAAAAUGGCUUAGAGAAGGAAUAUUUGAUGGUCAACCAGAAAGAAUAAAUACUGCAGAUUAUGUAGGAAAUUAUUUGUAUGAAAAUAAUUCAAACAGUACUAUAGCUGAAAAUGACAAAAAUAAUCUCUCUGCAAAACAAGAUACUUAUUUAAGUAACAGUAGCAUGUCUAACAGCUAUUCCUACCAUUCUGAUGAGGUAUAUAAUGAUUCAGGAUAUCUCUCAAAAAAUAAACUUGAUUCUGGUAUUGAGCCAGUAUUGAAGAAUGUUGAAGAUCAAAAAAACACUAGUUUUUCCAAAGUAAUAUCCAAUGUAAAAGAUGCAAAUGCAUACCCGCAAACUAUAAAUGAAGAUAUUUGUGUUGAGGAACUUGUGACUAGCUCUUCACCCUGCAAAAAUAAAAAUGCAGCCAUUAAAUUGUCCAUAUCUAAUAGUAAUAAUUUUGAGGUAGGGCCACCUGCAUUUAGGAUAGCCAGUGGUAAAAUCGUUUGUGUUUCACAUGAAACAAUUAAAAAAGUGAAAGACAUAUUUACAGACAGUUUCAGUAAAGUAAUUAAGGAAAACAACGAGAAUAAAUCAAAAAUUUGCCAAACGAAAAUUAUGGCAGGUUGUUACGAGGCAUUGGAUGAUUCAGAGGAUAUUCUUCAUAACUCUCUAGAUAAUGAUGAAUGUAGCACGCAUUCACAUAAGGUUUUUGCUGACAUUCAGAGUGAAGAAAUUUUACAACAUAACCAAAAUAUGUCUGGGUUGGAGAAAGUUUCUAAAAUAUCACCUUGUGAUGUUAGUUUGGAAACUUCAGAUAUAUGUAAAUGUAGUAUAGGGAAGCUUCAUAAGUCAGUCUCAUCUACAAAUACUUGUGGGAUUUUUAGCACAGCAAGUGGAAAAUCUGUCCAGGUAUCAGAUGCUUCAUUACAAAACGCAAGACAAGUGUUUUCUGAAAUAGAAGACAGUACCAAGCAAGUCUUUUCCAAAGUAUUGUUUAAAAGUAACGAACAUUCAGACCAGCUCACAAGAGAAGAAAAUACUGCUAUACGUACUCCAGAACAUUUAAUAUCCCAAAAAGGCUUUUCAUAUAAUGUGGUAAAUUCAUCUGCUUUCUCUGGAUUUAGUACAGCAAGUGGAAAGCAAGUUUCCAUUUUAGAAAGUUCCUUACACAAAGUUAAGGGAGUGUUAGAGGAAUUUGAUUUAAUCAGAACUGAGCAUAGUCUUCACUAUUCACCUACGUCUAGACAAAAUGUAUCAAAAAUACUUCCUCGUGUUGAUAAGAGAAACCCAGAGCACUGUGUAAACUCAGAAAUGGAAAAAACCUGCAGUAAAGAAUUUAAAUUAUCAAAUAACUUAAAUGUUGAAGGUGGUUCUUCAGAAAAUAAUCACUCUAUUAAAGUUUCUCCAUAUCUCUCUCAAUUUCAACAAGACAAACAACAGUUGGUAUUAGGAACCAAAGUCUCACUUGUUGAGAACAUUCAUGUUUUGGGAAAAGAACAGGCUUCACCUGAAAACGUAAAAAUGGAAAUUGGUAAAACUGAAACUUUUUCUGAUGUUCCUGUGAAAACAAAUAUAGAAGUUUGUUCUACUUACUCCAAAGAUUCAGAAAACUACUUUGAAACAGAAGCAGUAGAAAUUGCUAAAGCUUUUAUGGAAGAUGAUGAACUGACAGAUUCUGAACUGCCAAGUCAUGCCACACAUUCUCUUUUUACAUGUCCCGAAAAUGAGGAAAUGGUUUUGUCAAAUUCAAGAAUUGGAAAAAGAAGAGGAGAGCCCCUUAUCUUAGUGGGAGAACCCUCAAUCAAAAGAAACUUAUUAAAUGAAUUUGACAGGAUAAUAGAAAAUCAAGAAAAAUCCUUAAAGGCUUCAAAAAGCACUCCAGAUGGCACAAUAAAAGAUCGAAGAUUGUUUAUGCAUCAUGUUUCUUUAGAGCCGAUUACCUGUGUACCCUUUCGCACAACUAAGGAACGUCAAGAGAUACAGAAUCCAAAUUUUACCGCACCUGGUCAAGAAUUUCUGUCUAAAUCUCAUUUGUAUGAACAUCUGACUUUGGAAAAAUCUUCAAGCAAUUUAGCAGUUUCAGGACAUCCAUUUUAUCAAGUUUCUGCUACAAGAAAUGAAAAAAUGAGACACUUGGUUACUACAGGCAGACCAACCAAAGUCUUUGUUCCACCUUUUAAAACUAAAUCACAUUUUCACAGAGUUGAACAGUGUGUUAGGAAUAUUAACUUGGAGGAAAACAGACAAAAGCAAAACAUUGAUGGACAUGGCUCUGAUGAUAGUAAAAAUAAGAUUAAUGACAAUGAGAUUCAUCAGUUUAACAAAAACAACUCCAAUCAAGCAGCAGCUGUAACUUUCACAAAGUGUGAAGAAGAACCUUUAGAUUUAAUUACAAGUCUUCAGAAUGCCAGAGAUAUACAGGAUAUGCGAAUUAAGAAGAAACAAAGGCAACGCGUCUUUCCACAGCCAGGCAGUCUGUAUCUUGCAAAAACAUCCACUCUGCCUCGAAUCUCUCUGAAAGCAGCAGUAGGAGGCCAAGUUCCCUCUGCGUGUUCUCAUAAACAGCUGUAUAUGUAUGGCGUUUCUAAACAUUGCAUAAAAAUUAACAGCAAAAAUGCAGAGUCUUUUCAGUUUCACACUGAAGAUUAUUUUGGUAAGGAAAGUUUAUGGACUGGAAAAGGAAUACAGUUGGCUGAUGGUGGAUGGCUCAUACCCUCCAAUGAUGGAAAGGCUGGAAAAGAAGAAUUUUAUAGUUGUUCAGGGCUCUGUGUGACACUCCAGGUGUGGAUCCAAAGCUUAUUUCUAGAAUAUGGGUUUAUAAUCACUAUAGAUGGAUCAUAUGGAAACUGGCAGCUAUGGAAUGUGCCUUUCCUAAGGAAUUUGCUAAUAGAUGCCUAA